CGAAAUUUAUUAGGGGAAAAUCCAGAUUCGUAGUCGUCAGAGUAGUCCAGGGUCAUAGAGCCAGUACGGAGAGUCCGAGGAUACAUGAUUAAACAAACACACAAGUACACGACGGCAAACAAGGGAAUCGGACUAUAACAAAAGACGCUAGGAAAACUCGGGGCUAAGAAAGACGAAGGCUAGGAUACACGGAGUACAAACCUACAGUGCAAAAAGAGGCCAGAUUUGGAGCAAGCAGGAAGGCUACCUCCUUUCUCCUGGAAGAUCUAUGGACAGCCAGAUCAUUGCUGUGUGGGCCUGCAAAACCAAGCCUUAUGCUUAGCCAAGCAAGUGAUCCAACUUCUGGCAAGAUAACAUUGAAGGACACAUUGAAUUAAAAUAGUGCAUAAUAACUCCAUACACAUGCAAAGUUGAUGUUACUAAUAAUCUGUAAUUAUUGUAAAACAAAUAAGAUUAGGGAAUUCCCUCAUACCUCCAUUUUGUUGAGUAAUCAGUCAGUCACUAAUCAAGCUCAUUAGUUCUCUUUCAUCCUUAAUAGGUUGUUUAAAUCAAUUUAAAAUAAAUUAUAAAAUAUUUAAAUAAAUUUAGAUAUAUUUUCUUUCCUUUUCUAAAAUCAAGCCUUCUUGAUUCAUGAGUCUUGUUUUUAAAAAUUCUAGUGAAUUUGAUACAUAUGGUCCAUAUUCACCUAUGUUCAUCAUUUCAUGUAUGAUCAACUCCAUUAUUGCUGACUAAUCAAUAAACAUUCCAUUAAUUGUAGAGCUUUUA
Molecule: long non-coding RNA, 765 nt
Organism: Electrophorus electricus (electric eel)
Lineage: Eukaryota; Metazoa; Chordata; Actinopteri; Gymnotiformes; Gymnotidae
Source: RefSeq, a predicted model, not a curated record